GCAGGGUCUGAUCUCUGCACCCCGGGCCCCCGCGCAGACCCGCGGACGAGCGCUGGGUGGGGAUUUCAACCUGCUCCAGCUGAUGUGCGCGGGGUUUGCACCCCGGGGAGGCGAGGGAGAGAGUCCGGCCACGUCCUGCCAGGCCCCGCCCGCGCCCCCGCUGCCCUCCAGCGCGGAACCCAGGUCCCAGGAGACGCGAGGCGCCCAAGGCCCCGGGAUUCCGAGCCAGUCAACCCCGGGCCGCGACGCUCUGGGAACCACACCCGUCCAGGAAGGCACCUUGGCCAAAGCCGGCUCCUUCGCAGAUGACCCGGGCCAGGGUCCGAGCGCCAGGCUGUGACCCCGCGAGGCUGUUCCACGCUGGCCGCGAGAGACGGAGGGCAGGAGGGGCCCGAAUAGGACAGAGAGAGAGAGAGAGAGAGACAGAAGGAGGCGCACGCGCUCCCCAGGGACCGGGACGCGGUGGUGGGCGGGACCUCGCGGGGGUGGGGGGUGGUCGCAGGACCCAGAAGGCUCAGGACCUUUACGGAUAGGGAGGACCCCGCAGGGGGGAGCGGGGGAGCCCCACGCCCGGCGUCCUCCGGGUGCGAGGGUCUCGGGGAGUCCGAGCCCGGGCCCACGGCCUCUGUCCCGCGGCCACUACCUGCUGGGGGUCCCGGGCCUGGGCCACGCCGGGCUGCCCUCGGGGACUUGCUGCGGCCGUUGAGGGGUCUCCGCGCGCCGCGCAGACUCGCCUCCCAACCCGAGGGCCCGGGCGGCCGCCGCCCAGAGCGUCCAGCGGCAGCGUCUUGCUCUCGAAGGCGUCCUCCACGCAGCGGAACACGCAGCCAAGCUUGGGCCGGGCCAGAGGCCUCGCGGGCUCCUGAGGCUGCCGCGCGGUCACGGCAGGAGCGGGCGACAGAAUCCGGUCUCGGAGCCUCCUGUAGCGAGGUCUGCGCGGCAGGUGCACUGGGCGGACCUGGAGGCCGCGCCCUCCCCCCCCGCCUCCUGCCGCCCGGCAGCGCUGCGCGGAGCUGGCUCUGUCCACGUAGCGGGUGCUGAACGCCCCAUUCUGGCCCCUGGGUGCUCGCUUAGUCCCGGCCACGCGUGGCUGCUCGCCCUCGGGACACACUGGGCGCUGGGAAGGCCGGGCGGGGAGCGCGCACCGGAGAAACCGCUGUGGGAAUCCCGGCCACAUUUCCAGGCCCCUUGGGCCGUCCCACGCCAGACAAGAAAGCCCUGACUCCGAAACCCUGGGCGAGUGUGGAGGGCGCGCGGGGGUGGGGUGUACCCGCCCACGCAAACUGCUGCUGAUCUCCCUUAAAGCCGAGUUAGAGGCUUGGGGCGAGACAGGAGUGACGGGCGAUGCUGUCACUCCAUCUGUCAUUCUACCCAGCCUGCAGCAGCUGAAUUCGAACCCAGAGACUUCAGGCCUUUGCGUUGUUACCGCAGUCCGCAUUUCAAAGCCAGAGUUUGGCCACUGAGUCACCAUGACCUCGAGUACUGGCGGGGCCCGAGCCAGCAGAGCUAGGUCCAGCAGCUUCCCACCCCUUCGUCCUCCUCUGGGCUCCCCCUCCCCUAAAUGAUUAAUGCAAUGUCUGUUACUCACCUGUGUGGGACCGUCCACGGCAAAUAUCACCAACUGUUCUUAUGCACGUGCAGAAGUUCCGUCCCUUUCCUAACUGUCUGAUCUCUUCCAUGGUUCACAUUUGACCAACAGCCACAGGAGGGAGCCUCCCAGGUGGUCGACCGGAGCCAGGUGCUGCCAGGCACCCGACUGCAGAGCUUGCCCUCCAGGUGAUCUCGCAGUAUCGGUGUUCACAAGCCCUGUAAGGCACUCGGGGUAUCCUGAAGGCUACAGAUUCUGCAAGGGCAGAGACUUUAAGGAACAGCCAUAGUCCUUCUCCAGCUCAAAAUCUGGACCAUGGGCACAAGGUACACAUUGGGACCAUGCCAGGAGCUCUCCCAGAGGAGGAGGCCAGGCUGGCAGGGAGCCAGGUAGAGUUACAACAUAUUUCUGGAUGCCUGCAUCGUAGAGUCCAUCGGACUUCAACCCAGCGGUUCACCCACAGCGCCACGGUAGCUUUUAUUAACACAAGGCUAUUGUGUGCCAUUCAGUUGUGAGUAUAAUAAAUGUGCCAAGAAGAUGCAGUCGUUAAAAUGAGACAAAACUAUGCACAGAGGACUAAACAGGAUUUCAGACUCGAGACGCAAACCCCGAGGUCAGGCUCAGCUAGAGACACUGAACUGGCCCAGUAUCUUGCCGAGUAAAUCAGGAACUGUGGCUUGAAUGACAACAGAAAUGGAUGGGUCUUUCUUGGACAAGUGCUGAUUAAUAGUGCAUUUUCCAGCAAAAAUCCUGCAGCCACCAAAGAAAAAGCAUAUCUGUCUGAUACUAUUAGCUUUUCCCUGAUUUCAACCUAGGGAGCCAUGCCUGGUCCGCAGCCACCGUGUCAUCUGCCCCAAAGUCAGACAUUUCUUCUGACACAAAUAUAAAAUGAGCCUAAUACUUCCAGACAACCCAGUCCUCCCUACGGCAGCUGAGUCGUGUCUUUUAUACAAUGCUGCCAGUAACAGUCACACCUGGCUGCACAGCUGGCUGCCUCAACUUCUAGGUGCCUCGAAAUGGCUAAAUCCCACGAAUGGCUCUUCUGGUUGCGUGAAAACAUGCAUAAACGCAUGCUUGUGCACACAAGUGAGCACACACACACACCUCCUGUCAAUUCAGCUCUGAGAGCAGAACCUUAGCCCACCUAGGGUGGGAGGACACAGAAGUUCCAUCUGCAGCCAGUCAGGCUCCAUCCACAGGCUGGACGAAGCUCCCGGGCUGCGUCCCGGGUCUCCCAGCAGGAAUGGAAAUCACACCUAACGUUGCCUUCACCAAUGCACUGCUUCCUCUCUGAAAAAGAGUGGAGAAAACGCCGUUUAGUGCGACGACCUGGGGAAUGUGUGUGACCCACCACAGGUCAGCACUCAAGGCAGUUGGGGCCUUGACCAGGCACUGGCUCUGCACAGGAUGGUCACUGAGCCAAUGGCAGGCACUGCCCUCAUGGGUCCAGCACCAGCUACAGCGCCACGUCCUGAGCCUCCAGCCCGGGAGACGCACCUGGCACCCACCGAAGGCCACACUCUCAGGAAGAUGAGUCCAUGCUCCUCACAAAGCCCCUACAGAAGUGACCUUGGAUCUUUCUCACCAUGUCUGGGCCAGCAGCCCGGUUUCUACCCAACUUCCCUCAUUGCUUAGAAAGUGGGCCUCUGCUAAGUUCAAAGUUUUUAUUACCUUUCCAUUUUUUCAUGUUUUUGAAGAAGUUAUGAAGGAUCUGCUUUUCACAAGGGCGGGCCCCGGAUCAGUCCCUGGGGCAUGGCAGCAUCGGGUGGGAGGCCACGUGGGCUGAGGGGCGGGAGCGAGGGCACGCUGGGACAGAGGCAGAGGGGCGGGAGUGAGGGCACGCUGGGACAGAGGCAGAGGGCCCGGCCGUAGAGACACCACGGUUUUCUAAUCUAGGAGAGGUCUGAAGAGCUUUUUGGUUUUUGAUUUAACCUAACUUCUAAGUAAGAAGAUAUUACCUCAAACAGAAUGAAAAAUAAAUGUAGUCAAAUGACACAUACAUGUUUACUUCUUCCCGUAUUAAGCGUUACAGUUGAAAUCUCUGCUGCAGUUAACAUAGUACCUUGUUCUUUGUGCCUUUAAUCGGGUUCGUUUCUAAAUAGGUUGUCCCGGAACCAUCGAUCUCUAGAAGGUACAGGAGGAAGGGGACCUGCCAGUCCAGCCCUCAUAUUUUACAGAGGGAAAAGGUGAAGCCCCAUGUAAAACAGGGAUUUCCCUCGGUGACACUUCCAGGCUGAGAAGGGCCGGGGAUCUGGACACCUACCCAGAAACACUCCCACCCUGUCAAUGCCUCUCUGAAUUAUGUGAUCAACUGCCUGGAGUAUGAACUAGGCACAUGCAAAUAGAGAACAGAGGUCUUGUUGAAAAUAUGAUGCUGAAUUUUAAAAACUCACUCCCCAAAUUAAAGGAACAAGACCAGAGCA
RNAcentral lists this long non-coding RNA (4011 nucleotides) under Homo sapiens (human). RNAcentral's name for it is "JAKMIP3 antisense RNA 1, transcript variant 5 (JAKMIP3-AS1)". The record is from RNAcentral. Lineage: Eukaryota; Metazoa; Chordata; Mammalia; Primates; Hominidae.